CCUACGGGCGGCUGCAGUGGGGAAUAUUGCACAAUGGGCGCAAGCCUGAUGCAGCCAUGCCGCGUGUGUGAAGAAGGCCUUCGGGUUGUAAAGCACUUUCAGCGGGGAGGAAGGCGGUGAGGUUAAUAACCUCAUCGAUUGACGUUACCCGCAGAAGAAGCACCGGCUAACUCCGUGCCAGCAGCCGCGGUAAUACGGAGGGUGCAAGCGUUAAUCGGAAUUACUGGGCGUAAAGCGCACGCAGGCGGUCUGUCAAGUCGGAUGCGAAAUCCCCGGGCUCAACCUGGGAACUGCAUUCGAAACUGGCAGGCUAGAGUCUUGUAGAGGGGGGUAGAAUUCCAGGUGUAGCGGUGAAAUGCGUAGAGAUCUGGAGGAAUACCGGUGGCGAAGGCGGCCCCCUGGACAAAGACUGACGCUCAGGUGCGAAAGCGUGGGGAGCAAACAGGAUUAGAUACCCGUGUAGUC
Molecule: ribosomal RNA, 465 nt
Filed under: uncultured Klebsiella sp.
Lineage: Bacteria; Pseudomonadati; Pseudomonadota; Gammaproteobacteria; Enterobacterales; Enterobacteriaceae
Description: bacterial SSU rRNA
Rfam family: Bacterial small subunit ribosomal RNA
Source: RNAcentral